This is a long non-coding RNA of Urocitellus parryii (Arctic ground squirrel), 531 nucleotides long. RefSeq lists it as uncharacterized. NCBI's taxonomy places the organism in Eukaryota, Metazoa, Chordata, Mammalia, Rodentia, Sciuridae. The record is from RefSeq and is a predicted model, not a curated record.
GCCCACACGCCACACUCUGAGAUUUGAAUGUUUGUCACACUUCCUAAUUUUUUAAUAAUGAAAAUGAUUUCAGGAAAUAAUGAAGAUAGAGCCAGCUAAAUCUGAGCACAGACUGGGUGGGAAGGAGAAGGAAAAAAUCGGACCAGUUAUGCUUUAUUCUGUGACCUCAGGAGGUGAAGUCGGUUUGCUGAUAAGUGGUCAUUCUGACAAACAGUACGGUGCGGCCUAGCCACGUGACCCCCUCCUGGCCUCAGCAGAGAUCCCAGUGCCUUCCCUCCCCCGUCCCCRCUCUCAGCUUGACUUCUGGGGGUUCGGUGGAAGAGGAGCUGACCUCUCACCUCCCCUCACACGCGCAGAACCCAGGCACACGCCAGCUCUGUGUGUGUUUCGACGAUGCUGAUUAUCAGAUUUGCUGAUGCCCUGCUUAUUCCAGGAAGGACUGAAGGUAAUGGGUGGCAGACACAGAGGAAGUAUUCCGUCCUGCAUCUCUCACUCUGAGGCACUUCUGUUGACCAACACCAGUGAGAAGGG